RNAcentral lists this ribosomal RNA (253 nucleotides) under uncultured bacterium. RNAcentral's name for it is "partial 16S ribosomal RNA". It matches the Rfam family "Bacterial small subunit ribosomal RNA", at positions 524 to 776 of the family's 1533-position model. The record is from RNAcentral.
UACAGAGGGUGCAAGCGUUAAUCGGAAUUACUGGGCGUAAAGCGCUCGUAGGCGGUUUGUUAAGUCGGAUGUGAAAUCCCUGGGCUCAACCUAGGCACUGCAUCCGAUACUGGCUAACUAGAGUGUGGGAGAGGAAGGUAGAAUUCCAGGUGUAGCGGUGAAAUGCGUAGAGAUCUGGAGGAAUACCGAUGGCGAAGGCAGCCUUCUGGCCUAACACUGACGCUGAGGUGCGAAAGCGUGGGGAGCAAACAGG